AGGACACAAUUUAUGAGAAUAUCUGAGAGGGAUUUACUUUUAAGUUCCCACAAAAAGAAGUUCAGUUGCUUUCAAGAAAAAAGAUAAUGGCAAAAGUGACCUUCCAAAGCCUCUCUCCUCACUGAUCUCACGCUAUGCUGGCACAGCGGGAGCUGAGCUCACCUCUCCACACAACUUCUGAUCCAGAAUCCUUCGUCACCGUGCAUAAGCUCCAAGUGGGAUGAAAGAUAGACCAAUAGAGAAAUGAGGGCACUGUACUGGUACAAGAAAUGUCUCUGGAGUCAUAAAUACAGUUAAGGAAACAGCUUCCACUCUGAAU
RNAcentral lists this long non-coding RNA (319 nucleotides) under Gallus gallus (chicken). Its description in RNAcentral is "long non-coding RNA NONGGAT004586". The record is from RNAcentral. Lineage: Eukaryota; Metazoa; Chordata; Aves; Galliformes; Phasianidae.